GUCCUAGCUGUAAACGAUGGGCACUGGGUAGAGGAGGCGUCGAUACCUUCUCUGCCGAAGCAAAUGUGUUAAGUGCCCCGCCUGGGGAGUACGGUCGCAAGGCUAAAACUCAAAGGAAUUGACGGGGGCUCACACAAGCGGUGGAGCAUGUGGUUCAAUUCGAAGCAACGCGAAGAACCUUACCCGGGUUUGAAAUCCACGGAUGGGUCAGAUGAAAGUUGGAUACCCUGCCCGCAAGGGUGAAACGUGGACAGGUGUUGCAUGGCUGUCGU
RNAcentral lists this ribosomal RNA (272 nucleotides) under uncultured bacterium. RNAcentral describes it as "partial 16S ribosomal RNA". It matches the Rfam family "Bacterial small subunit ribosomal RNA", at positions 793 to 1055 of the family's 1533-position model. The record is from RNAcentral.